Molecule: ribosomal RNA, 549 nt
Filed under: uncultured bacterium
Lineage: Bacteria
Description: bacterial SSU rRNA
Rfam family: Bacterial small subunit ribosomal RNA
Source: RNAcentral
CACUARUUUUCAGUUCUUCGGAAGACAUGUUUAGUGACUUACCGGCGGACGGGUGAGUAACGCGUGGGUAACCUGCCUCAUACAGGGGGAUAACAGUUAGAAAUGACUGCUAAUACCGCAUAAGAUCACAGUAUCGCAUGAUACAGUGAUAAAAACUCUGGUGGUAUGAGAUGGACCCGCGUCUGAUUAGCUAGUUGGUAAGGUAACGGCUUACCAAGGCAACGAUCAGUAGCCGGCCUGAGAGGGUGAACGGCCACAUUGGGACUGAGACACGGCCCANACUCCUACGGGAGGCAUCAGUGAGGAAUAUUGCACAAUGGGGGAAACCCUGAUGCAGCGACGCCGCGUGAAGGACGAAGUAUUUCGGUACGUAAACUUCUAUCACCAGGGAAGAAAAUGACGGUACCUGACUAAGAAGCCCCGGCUAACUACGUGCCAACAGCCGCGGUAAUACGUAGGGGGCAAGCGUUAUCCGGAUUUACUGGGUGUAAAAGGAACGUAGACGGUUGUGUUAAUCUGAUGUGAAAGGCAGGGGCUCACCCCUGGGAA